CACAACCCGGGGAGCAUCCUUGACUCUUUCCCGGCACCCCACUUCCUGCAGUAAGUCGAUCCCAUUAAUUUGGCCUCCUUAGGGGUCUCAGGGGCUUAUAUCUACCCUUAUGUCCACCCGAUUACCAUGGCCUUCUUUCCAGCCCUUGUCAUUUCGCGUCUGCAUUUCCAAGAUGCCAUCAUAGUUAAUACCCAGAACAGAAGAAAACACUGGAGUUUGGUUAGAUUAAGUGCCUGCUGCAUAUGACGACAUUUGUUCGUACCAGGAUUUGAGCCAAGAUUACAUCGUUUCUUUGUUACUCACAACCGCACAUCGCCUGAGACCCUGCUAGAAAUGCUGAAUCUCAGGACCACCCCAGACCCAGGGAAUCAGAAUCUGCAUUUAACAACAUGCCCAGAUGACCCACGAGCUGGUGAAGCCCUGGGCCCUGGUCCUGGGUGGCUGCUGAGAGUAAUGCGUGCAGAUAAUUAACCCAGUGCUUCCUUCAUGUCCCUACUCUUUGCUUCCCUCUCAAAUGGACUUACCUGAGGUUUGAGGUGAGCAUUUUUCUUUUAAGACAGAAGCACUUCUAACCAAUGGCCACAUGUCUUUCUAACACAACUCAAGAAAGCUUUGGGGGCACAUGAGAAGAGAAGGUGGGGACUCAGGUCACACAGCCACUCCCUCUAGGUGCCAACUCCAAGCCUGGCUGUGCCCUGCGCUGGUUUCUACCUGUGCUAACAGGCAAGGACACACAAAAAAGUUACUUCCUAGAGGCUAGCUAAUGUGCAGGGAAAAGGUAGCCCUCCCCAUCAGUUUAUUGCAGAGUUAUAUUCCUGUACAGUCAUGAAAAACAGCAGUGGAGGGGCGCCUGGGUGGCUCUGUGGGUUAAGCAUCCGACUUCAGCUCAGGUCACAAUCUCACGGUUUGUGAGUUCGAAUCCCACACUGGGAUCUGUGCUAACAGCUCAGAGCCUGGAGCCUGCUUCGGAUUCUGUCUCCGUCUCUCUCUCUCUACCCCUCCCCCACUCGUGCUCUAUGUCUCUCUGUCUCUCAAAAAAAUAAACAUUAAACAAAUUUAAAAAAAAAAAAGAAAAGAAAAACAGAAGUGGAAAAUACAUAAGGCUCAAGUGCACAGUGAGUUGGCAAUGGAUGUAAUCACAAGACCCAAGAAUUCCUAGCUCUUAUUCUCUGGCUCCAGCAAUGGGAACACGCAUGUGAAAUCUUUUGUAACGAUUAUUAAGUCCUCCUUUACAAAAAUCUUUUUUCUUGGGGCGCCUGGGUGGUUCAGUGGGUUAAGCAGCCGACUUCGGCUCAGGUCAUGAUCUCGCGGUCCGUGGGUUCGAGCCCCGCGUCGGGCUCUGUGCUGACAGCUCAGAGCCUGGAGCCUGUUUCAGAUUCUGUGUCUCCCUCUCUCUGACCCUCCCCCGUUCAUGCUCUGUCUCUCUCUGUCUCAAAAAUAAAUAAACGUUAAAAAAAUUAAAAAAAAAAAACCAAAAAUCUUUUUUUCUUUUUAAUGUUUAUUUAUUUAUUUUGAGAGGGAGUGUGAGGGAGGGGCAGACUGAGAGAGAGAGAGAGAGAGAGAGAGAGUAUCCCAAGCAGGCUCUGCACUGUCCCCGUAGAGCCCGAUGCAGGACGAUUGAUUUUACAAUCGUGAGCCAAAAUCAGGAGCCGGACGCUCACCCUACUGAGCCACCUGGGCGCCCCUCAAAAAUCUUGCUCUGGGUACACUUGUCCCCAUGGGUACAAUCUGGCUCUGGGGACACCUGUCUGAGGCCAUGUGCAUGGGAGAGUCAUGAAUGCCACCUCAUCUGCUUGCAUAGGGGAGGUUUACUUUUUGCAUUUGCACUGACAUCCAUAACCCGUGCGUCACUCUCCUGUGACGCCCCAGAACUACAUCCAAAGACUGCUAUUGUCUUACUGCUUCAAUGAGAAAAUCCUUACCGUGGCUCUCUGAUUACCACAGAAGUGCUAAAUGGCCAUAUUGAUGAGUCUGGAGACGGAACCAGAAGUCUGGGGGCGAGGUGUCUGCAUUUCUGUUUUUAAGAGCAGAGAGUACAAUUUUUUAGCACUGAAUCCAAUCCCAUUAAAACGGGUUGUAAAAAAAAUAAAUAAAUAAAGUUCCCAUGCUGCUAAGCCGCUUUCAUGUGACAGCGGCCUCUCGGCACGCGGCGUAUAUGUUUCUGAUGUUUCGGUUCCAAAUCAAGCUGGCGCCCAGGUAGACCUCAGAUCUGCUGUCUUCACUUACGAGUCUUCCGAGAGAGACACCCGCCAACUCCAUCUCUCUCCGACUAAGAGACACUAGAGCCUUCAGAUGGGGAAAAGGGGAAGUUUAAUCAAGCACAGUUUCCUAAAUACCUGUGACUCAUCGCAAAGCCCACACCGCAGAGAACUGCCAGCGGGGACACACGACGCUGACCUACUUUGCCAGAAUAGGAUUUACUUUUCUUGGUGGGUGUGAAUCUUUCUUCUUUAUUAAGGGAGAGGAAUUUAAUGAACAUUAGUUCUUAAAUUAGUUCUUAAGGAAACCAGAGGCAGAUACCCUGAGGGUGGGGCCGAGUCUCCUUUCUCCUCCAGCUUCCCAGGCUGGCCCAGCCACCCGGCCUCCGCGGCAACCUUCAAACCCUUAUCUGUCCGCUGAAUGGCAGACUUCUUUAACCUUUGACCUAAAUUGUGUCUGAACCUUCAUCUUGAGGAAGUAAAGUUUUGAACAUUAAGCCACUGAAGACUUCAAAAGCCCCUGGAUUUAGGUCCCGUUCUUUAGCAAGAAUCCCAAUACCCUCGUCUUUGAGCAGCAAAUAAAGUAGAACCCGCUCGGCCCAGUGCUAGUAGUGAUGAGUAAGUGAUACGCUAGGGGAAGAAAUGCCUUCAGGAGGAGGGUACUCAGUUUGUUUAUUGGUUCGGUUUCUUCCUUCUAUUCACAGGAUAAAUGUGAACGUAGCUUAAGACUUUCAUUUCUGCCUCCCCGAGAGCCCUUUAUAGGCAUUUUAAAAGUAAGUCGUGGUAGUAUUUUAGGGUCCCCAUUUAAAACGUCCAAAAGUUGGAAUAUCUCACGAUCUUUUUCGAACAGGUUGCAUUUGAAGCAACAAUGGCUAUUUCAAUGGACUGCCCUCUAUACUCCCAGCGAAAUUCACGGGGGAUUUACACGUAACUGUAAACACACACCCAGAUGAGGAUACGCCUCAAAGAGAAUAUUGGAAGGGCAAAGUCAAUCUGAGAGGAUUAACAGCAAAAUAAAACCCAGAUUAAAUCAAAUGACCAAAGAAAAAUUAGUAGAACAAGAAAGAUUUUAAUGCUUGUACCAGGGAAAAUGCCGACCUCGGUGCAUUGAAAAACUAGGAAUACCCAGCAGACUUAAAUCAAACUCCAAAACUAACUCCGAUUCGUAUUUGAAAAUCUUUUGACUUGCUCUUGAAAAAAAAUAAUUUACAUUAGUUUUAUGUGUCCUGUCAGUUAAAGUAGCCGAAGCUGCCAAAACACUGUCAUUUCUUAUAACUGAUUACUCUCCCUUCCCAUGGCUGUCAUAUGUGUCUCAAGUGCAUUUGUCUUUGGAAUGUUGUUCCUUUAUUGCCUUUUGUGGGACCUGUCUUACUCUGGCAUUUUUACUGUGGUAGACACAUUGCUAUAUUACAGGAGGCCAAAGGUCAGCUACACAGCCAUCAAGUCGAAGAAUGAUUUUUUGGUUAAUAAAACUAAUUUUCUUAGCUGAGGGCUGCUUGCUGUGAGAAGAAGUUAUAUUUGCCAGGUCAUAUUUUCAGGAAAGUGAUAGAAUGCCAGCCAUUGAGCUAUAAUUUAUGGUGCUACCGUAGUUUGUCAGAAACAGAAUUUUGCUUUUUUAACAUGUGGAUGUUAAGUACGAUAGGAAAUCCGAGCUCAUGUGGUGGGUGGCAAGAUGAAGUAAAUAUGUGUUUGGGGAGAAUGUGUAACAAGCGUUAUUUUCCUCCUGGCUCAGAAAGCACCUAGACCGAAAGGACAGAGGUGGAGCGCUGAUUAAGAGCCAGGACUGGGAGCCAGAGAGAUGUGGAAUAAAAAAUUGCCUUAGCCAUCUGCAGUGACCAUAGACAACUUAAUUAACUUCUCUCAGCCUAGGCUUUUUCAUCCUUGAAAUGGGCAUAACAAGGGCGCCUGGGUGGCUCAGGGAGUUAAGUGUCCGACUCUUGAUUUCGGCUCAGGUCACCAUCUCGCGGUUCAUGGGUUUGAGUCCUGAGUCAGGCCCUGCACUGAAGGUGUGGCGCCUGCUUGGGAUUCUGCCUCCUUCUCUCUUUGAUUCUCUCUCUCAAAAAAAGGGGGGGGGUGGUGCAUAACAAUAAUACCUGCCUCCUAGAUUUAUUUGGAGGAUGAAUAGUGUAUGCGUAAAAGUGCUGAACUGUAUUUAGUGUAUCAGUCAGUCUAGGCUGUUUAUGCUACAUAACAAACUGCCCUAUAUUCUCAUGGGCUUAAAGCAACUAAUUAUUUCUAACUUAAUGCUACACAUCCAUGUAGGUUAGCAGGGCAAAGGUCCGCCCAUGAUAGUCAUUCAGGGAUAGUCAUUCAGGGAUGGAGCAGCCACCAUCUUGGACCUUGUUGGUCACAUGCAGAGGAGAAAAGACCUCUAGGGAUUUUAUGUCAGCCAUUCAACGUUCAGCCCACAAGUGACACUGAUCACUUCUCAUCAAACCUAUUGGCCUAGAAGCGGGGAAACACCCCCUUUCUUUAGGCAGAGACUUACCAGAUGAGAGAGGGCUCACACAUUAAGUCACUGUCCCUUUCAUUGUGAAUUCAGUGGCCACCUUGCCUUCAGUCACCUCUGUAGAACUCGAGGGAACAGAAUCUAGGUAAAAAAGGUCAGGCAACGAAGAAACAAUUGCCCUGAGACCUGAGUCAGGGGCAGGAUGAGAACAGCUGCCUCCAGAGUCUCAUCGGUGUCAGGAUCACAUCUAGAAGGACUCAAGGACGAGGCAGUUGUAAGAGAGGAGGCCCCUGGUGAUGUCCACACACCACAGCUGUGCCUGAAGCAAACUUUCUUUCACCAAUAGCCCUAUAGCAAUAAGCUCACAGGGCCAGUUUUUGAUAGGAGGAAAGGCAAGGGAAUGUUGCCUAAUUUGUGGCUGGGAGCAAGGUAGCAUCAGUAAGCAUCACCGUGUUCUCUUCAGAGCAGGAACAGUUGCCUCCAUUCUCAACUGUAAGUUUCUCUGCUUUGCUCCGGGAGGCAUCUGGAGGUGGCACGCAAUGGGGAGCCACACCAACAGCUAAUGUUAUUUGAACACUUACUUUGUACAAGCUCUGUAGCGGGCAUGUGUUAUUUUAAGUAAGCUCUGCACCCAAUGUGGGGCUUGAACUCACCACCUGAGAUCAAGAGUUGCAUGCUCUACUGACUAAGCCAGCCAGGUGCCCCGACACACAUUAUUUCAAUUAAUCAUUAGCAACCCUCUGAGGAGGGUAAAAAGUUGUUACCUUAACAUCUCAGAUGUGGAAGCAGAAAUUAAGAAUUAAGAAAAUUCAGACAGAGCCAAAAUUCGAACUUCACAUAUAUCUCAUUGUAACUCUAAUACUUUUAUUUUUUAACUGUUUUAAUCACUUCUCUCUCUCUUCUCUCCAUUUUUUGCCCUCUCUUCGUCUUCUCAAUUUAAUCACUGCUAGGGAAAAAUUUAAUGUUUAAGGAAAAGAGCAGACAGAAAAACAUGGCAUUUCUGUGUCCUUCUUGAUUUUGUCAUAUGCAUCUGCUCACAUGCUUUCCCUACUUAAACCCAUCUUUGACUCUCUAACACCUACAGAGAAAAGUCCAACCUCCCCAGUCUUGUUUUCCGAGAUCUUUAUAAUCUGAUGCCACAGCCUUUGCAGAUUUAUUUGGCUGCCACCACAUCUCCAAGCACAGCACCAGCUACCCAACUUCCUGUUAUUUCCCAAACACAACCUGUGCCUUCAUGUUUCUGUGCCUUUGCUCAUGCUGUUCCUUGUGCCUGGAAUUCUCUUUCCUUGUCCACUUGUUUGUUGAUUCCACAUAUGUUGAACUCCUCCUAUGGGCCAGAUUCUGGGGCUGGGAGGGGAGUAAAUCUGGGUGUCUGACCUCAACCAUCUCACAGUCUGAUGGGAUGCACUGAAAGAACAGUAAAUGAUAAUACAGUGGGGGUGGGCCCAUUAGGACAGCUCACUGAGGAGUACUAACUCAAAUUUCAGGGUGAGGAGCGAGGUGCAGGGAAUGAUAACUCACAUCAAGGGGCCUUUCACAGGAAGGAUGCCUGAGUUAGGGCUUGAAGAAUGUCCCUAGACAAGCAAGAGGGAAUGAGAGAACGCAUGAGUAUUUGAAACUGAUUUGAAACUUUCAAGAGCAGAUGAAGAAAGAAAGAGUAAGUUGGAGCGGUGACAGAUGAGGCCGGGAGGGUCUUCUGGGUCCUGGACAGGAUUUUGGACUUGUCACUUGAAAAAAAUGGACAGCUACUGAGGGAUUUCUGUACUUAAGCAGGGAAACAACAGCCGUGUUUGCAGCUUUGGUUAAAUCAAUUUGAAAAUUAGGUUGGAGAUGAUGCCAGAAAGUUAAAUAUUUCUAAGACUUGAAUAAAGCUGGUCAAAGUAAGAAAACACAUGAGAAAGCUCAUCACAUCCUCAAAGAAAUACAUUCCCUCCCAUUUUCUUGAAGACAUGGCCCCAUUCAUUAUCUUUCAUUUUUUGGUUUUUGAUAGAUACAACAAAUGAAUGAAAGAAACACUUGACUCUUCUUUUAGCCACAGGAGUUACCAAUAGCAAACACUUUGAUGAGUGGCAAUGCUUCACUUUCUUGCCUCAGUGGGGGAGAACGUGGGGCAGGGGCUGCAGUGAACUCUGGAGAGCAGGUGCCGUGGAAGGGGUACAGCCCCCGUUCAGCUCCAGCUGCCUGUUGCCGUGCAAGAGUAUAGGAAAAAUCUAGACCUCUGCUUUUUUCAAAGAAAUCUUGAAAUCAAAAUUUGAAGGUAAAGAUACGCUGAUUUAAAAAAAAAAAAAAAGCAGCAGCAUGCUGGUCAAACUAGGAUUGUAAGAUUAAGCACACACAAGUAUAUACAUAUAUAUAUACAUAUAUAUGUACGUACGUACAUAUGUACGUAUAUAUAUGUACGUACAUAUAUAUGUGUAUAUAUAUAUAUAUAUAUACACAUCAACAAGGCCCUAAUUAUAAGACAAAGAAGAAACAAAAAGAGAAUUACUUCAAUAGUUGCUUUGGUGGCACAAUUGACUGGCAAGGCAUUUGAGGGACAUGUGGCUGCCCCAGGUGCUGCAGGGUGUCUAGCUUCCCUGGACCGUGACAAUUAAAUGCUUGCACUGCCUCGCAAUCUAUGUGAUAACAAAAAGUAACCCCCCACCCCAGUCACCUUUCCCAAAUGCCCCCUAGGUGGGGUGCUGUCCCCAGUAAUGAACACCGGUUAGAGAAAGAUUGGCAGUCGUGGAGGGGACAGGCAGAGAAUGACACUUGAAGUUCGGGAGCACAGGUAGGAAGUGGCUGCUUUUAUCUAAGGGAGCAUUCAAAUAAGGAAGACCGGAGUAGGAUUUUGCUUCAAAAUCAAUGGAUUCCUUUUACUGAGUUUGGAAUUCCUGUGGAAGAUCUAAGGGGUACUGAGAGCUAGGCUAUGGAAUGUGUGCGUGUGGUAUUCUGAGGUCUAAGGUGGACACAGAAAUUUGGGAAUGGGCGGCAGAUCAUCUACACGUUAUGGAAGUCGUGGACUGGAGGGGAUCCCUCCCAGGGACACUGCAGAGUCUGAGGUGAUGUGGUCCACAGACGCAGCCCUGGAGAACACCAAAUUUCAGGAGAUGCCCAGCCUCCAUCACAGAGGUGUAAAGCAGUUUCCAGAAACAAAGUGGGGAAUCCAGAAGAAGGUGGUAUAAUAAAAAGGGAAGGCGGAGAGGUAAGUGGGCCAACCCUGCAGAGAAGAGGCAAACUCUACAGAGAGGGCAAACAAGAUCAAAGUUGAACACAUGUCCAAUCAGAAGAUCCCUGAUGGCCUGACUGACUACAGUUUUGGUGCAGUGCUAGGUGUGGAGGCCUACUUAGAGCUGACGAGGAAAUGCAGACAAAGUAUACAGACCACUCUUGGAAAUGUCUUGGCUGUGAAGGAGUAUGAGAUCUUAUUCACUUUUUUUUUUUAAGGUUUUAUUUUCUUAAGUAAUCUCUACACCCAACUUGGGGUUUGAAUUCACAACCCCAAGAUCAAGAGUUGUGUGCUCCACCCACUGAGCCAGCCAGGCUCCCCUAUCCUAUUUACCUUUUAAGACCCUCCUCAUACGAGGUCUCUGAAGUUUCUCUGGAUCUCUUAGGCUGCUUUUGCUGAUAAGUACCAGAAAACUGAAUUCAAACUGGCUUAAAAAGUAAAAUCCAAUAGUGGCUUUGGGCUACUGAAAAAAGUCCAGGGUGGACUUCAGGCAUAGUUUGAUCAGGCUUUGGAUCCAAUUCUCUCAGUUCUUGCCCUUUCUGACUUUCCUAUUUUAUUUGUUUAUUAAAAAAAAUAUUUAUUGGGCACCUACAGCAUGCCAGGAACUUUCUCGGUUCUUGGGACACAACAGUAAGCAAAACUAAAUAAAGAUCCCUGCUCUUCUGAAGCAUAUAUUCAAAUGGGAGAAGAUAAACAUUAAAAAUAUAUACGUAUAUAUAUAUAUAUAUUUGUUUAUAUUUUAUAUGUAAACUUUACACAUAUGUAAUUCAUAUAGCAUGUUAAAUGAUGAUGAAGUCCAUGGAGAAAGAAAAACAUAGUGCAGAGUGAAGAGGAUGGAGAGUGUAGGAAGGGGGUGGGGGGUUGACGUUUAUGUUGGUGAUCAGGGAGCCUUCAUCCAGAAAAUGGUAUUUGAGCAAAGACAUGAGGAUGUGAAAGAGAGACAUGUGAAUGGCUUAGGGAAGAGUGUUCCGGGCAGAAGACACAACCAGCACAAAGGUCCUGAGCAGGAAUAUUCCCAGCAUGUUUAAACAGCAUCAGAGGACCAGUGUAGCUGGAAUGGAGGGAAUAAGGGAUUAGCAGCUGGAUAUUACAUCACGGAAGUAUCGGAGGGCCAAGUCAUAAGGGCCACUAUAAAGACUCUGGCUUUUCAUCUGCAGGGUUUUGAAUCAAAGAGUAAAUGAUCCAAGUCAGGUUUGAUAGGAUCUCUGUGGCUGCUGCUUUGAAGGCAGACUGUAGGGGCGUGGGGAUGGAAUCUGGGAAAUCAGUAGACUCAAAAAAGUCUACUAAAAUAAUACAGGCAAGAGAUAAUAUGGCUGGACCAGGGUGGUCACAAGGGGAGUGAUGAGGCAUGGUGGGAUUCUGGAAAGCGUCCGAGUGUAGGGCUAACAAGAUUUCCUGACAGAUAGGAGGUGAGAGAUGAAAGAAGAGUCCGGAAUGUCUCCAAGAUUUGGGCCUAAACCAUCGAGAUGGGGAGGGCCCUAGAUAGAGCAGGUUUGGGGAGGAAGAUCCUGGCAUAGGUUUUGGACAUGUGGACUCUUAGAAGUCUCUCAACACCCAGGUGAAGAAGUUGAGUAGGCAGAGGGAUCUGAGUCUACCUUUGGGAGAGUAGUCUAGACUGGCAAGAUACAUUUCAGAAUUGUUGGUGUACAGAUAAUAUUUAAAGCCUUCCAACGGGAUGUAAGGAUCUUUGUACCAGUCCCUACGACCAAUGAAAAUAAUAGCGUCCAUUUUUGAGCUAAUCGCCUGAAGGGGUCUGGGAGUGGGUUAUACUUGUGAAGACUCAGCCCUGGAGCCAAAGUGGAGAUAAUCCUUAUAAUCCCACCCAAAGGAAAAAUUAAAUAUUUGGAAGCAGGCAAUAAAGUGAGUCUAUGACCUUUCUACACAUCCUCUAGGAGGAAUUGAUCAUUUGCUCUCACAUACUCUGGGAGCCUUUUCCAUAGUGAUAAUUUUAUAGUUAUUAUGUUGCGACACAGUUGGCUAUCUUAUUUACUGAUUUCUUCUCAGAUUGUUAGGUCCUUGAAGAGGAAACAUGUGGUAUUCAUGUUUGAACCCCAGGGCCUAGCCCAAGCGAUCACAUGUUGAAGUGAGUUAACUAUGAACAUGUGAAAGUAUGUAGAUUUUUGGUCUUUCUAUGAAGCCUCCAGGGUGAUCAAAAGCCUUAAAAGGGAAAAUUUUUUUUUUUUAAUUUUUUUUUUCAACGUUUAUUUAUUUUUGGGACAGAGAGAGACAGAGCAUGAACGGGCGAGGGGCAGAGAGAGAGGGAGACACAGAAUCGGAAACAGGCUCCAGGCUCUGAGCCAUCAGCCCAGAGUCUGACGCGGGGCUCGAACUCACGGACCGCGAGAUCGUGACCUGGCUGAAGUCGGACGCUUAACCGACUGCGCCACCCAGGCGCCCCAAGGGAAAAAUUUUAAACUUAGAAGAGCCUGAUCCAUCUGUUACAUAAGCACAGGGACCCUCACCUGGUUAAAUUGCUUUUAUGAAGCUAUUUCUUAAUGAAUAUGGCUGCCAACACAAUUCAUUCUUUUUUUUUUUUUUUUUUAACGUUUUUUUUUUUUUUCAACGUUUAUUUAUUUUUGGGACAGAGAGAGACAGAGCAUGAACGGGGGAGGGGCAGAGAGAGGGAGACACAGAAUCGGAAGCAGGCUCCAGGCUCUGAGCCAUCAGCCCAGAGCCUGACGCGGGGCUCGAACUCACGGACCGCGAGAUCGUGACCUGGCUGAAGUCGGACGCUUAACCGACUGCGCCACCCAGGCGCCCCACAAUUCAUUCUUUAGAUAGCUCUGAGACAGAGAAAUCUGAAAGAGAUUUUUGGUAAUUGAAUACACACACAUAGCUAAUGGCUGAGAGUUCAUGAAAAGUACCUAAUAUCUAAAGGACCUAUAAUCAUUGGAGAGAGAGAGAGAGAGAGAGAGAUUGCUCGUGAGUACUGAUUAAAACUUAAAUGAUAGGGGCACCUGGGUGGCUCAGUCGGUUGAGCAUCUGACUUCGGCUCAGGUCAUGAUGUCACAGUUUGUGAGUUCGAGCCCCGUGUCGGGCUCUGUGCUGAGAGCUCAGAGCCUGGAGCCUGCUUCAAGUUCUGUGUCUCCCUCUCUCCCUGCCCCUCCCCGCCCCUACUCAUACUCUGCAUUCUCUCUCUCUCAAAAAUAAAUAAAUAUUACCAAAAGAAAAAUUUUUUUAAAAGAAAAAACUUAAAUGAUAAUAUAGUUGGCCAAAGACAGUGCACAAAGAAAGUAAACUCUUUAGAAGGAAAUCAAAUAGAUAGGCAUAUGCUCAUAUAAGCUUUUUCUCUUUUUGCAGCUCUGAUUUUUUUGUUGGUUAUGAUUUGUGCCACGGAAUAUCUGAAUCUAUACAGUGAAUUGUAUGAUUAUGGAAUUCUAGUUAACUCUGCGCUUGGUCACAUGUAAAGCAACUUAGACUUUCUUAGAAGAGAAUAAAUGAGCCAAAAUAUUUUUCUGUCCAGUAUUUAAGUGGGAAAAAAAAUGACAAAAUGUAAACAUCCAAAAUAUUAUAAAGUAUAUUAUAUCCAUUCAAUCUAUCACUGACUUCACACUUUUUGGAAAGGGUUUCCAUUGUUAUCUCCUCCCGCAGACAUAUUAGGAUAUAUUUGUCUACAUGGGCAUUUUCAGAAAUUUAAGCGCUACUAUAACUUCUUUAAAUUACAAAAGACCCCAAAGGUUUACUUGUUUGCUUGUUUGUUUUUAAAAUUUUUUUUUUCAACGUUUAUUUAUUUUUGGGACAGAGAGAGACAGAGCAUGAACGGGGGAGGAGCAGAGAGAGAGGGAGACACAGAAUCGGAAACAGGCUCCAGGCUCUGAGCCAUCAGCCCAGAGCCCGACGCGGGGCUCGAACUCACAGACCUCGAGAUCGUGACCUGGCUGAAGUCGGACGCUUAACCGACUGCGCCACCCAGGUGCCCCUGCUUGUUUGUUUUUAGAAGAUAAUGGGAGGACACUGAAGCGGUCCCUUUGAAUACAGAAGGCAUUUGAUGCAACGAAAUAUUUGAUCCUUAUCGAAUCAAUUGUCAGUAUUUAAAAUUUCUCUUUGAAGGCAAAUUCUUUGGUCCUUAUAAAAAGCAUUGAUCAUAAGGACUAAGACAAAUGCCAGUCACCGCUAUGGAAUCUGUCAGCUCAACCUGUACACAGUGCUUCACAGUUCUUGGAUUACUAAGCAAGUUACCAAUUUUGUCAGGCUAGACUCUCUUCACAGUGAAAUAAAAAGGAGGGCGCAUCUGAAAGGCCAGAUAGUGUAAUGAGUAAGGCAUUUGGUAAAUGAGAGCAAUUAAAAAUCAAAAACAGCUCACAUCUGAAAAAAACAGAUAAUAGAGCAGGUAAGACACUCAGUAAAUAGAACCCAAUAAUGAUGUUGUAAACCUCACCCUGAGGCUACCCAGGGUGCAACUCUACUCAAGUGAUUCUUCUUCCCCCUUUACUAGGUCUAUUCCAGAUUUUUGAAAAAUCGAAGUAAACUCCAAAGGUCACAAAGAUGUUCCCUUGUAGUGUUCUCCUGACUGGAAGUGCAGUGAGAUGGGCAGGUAUAUGUACUUUGGGGUUCGUGUUAGAGGGAAGGGGACCUUCCCUUAGCAGCUUUGAGGCGGGGACCCGGGAAAGUGGAACUGUGCCGGCCAGGAGUUUAGACGGAGAGAUUGCAAGGCGGGUGCAAUGGGAGGGCUCAUGUUCUCCCACGCAGUGCUCUUUCUCGCUGUUUGGUGGUGGCGAUGGGGCUCCCUCAUUCUCUGUUCACUGGCCGUGCUAGCACAUCUCCUUCCUUUUGCCCUUGAAAAUGGCAUUAAAUGAUUCCAGGCGUGUGCGUUUGAGAAAGCCAGCGCAACAUCCUAUUAAUCCGCUGAGCCACUUCAACAACUUGAAACUGAUCAGAGCACGGCUGAUGACCGCGUUGGUCAGUUGGCGAGAGCUUUACGCGAAGGCCGUGGGAGUCAAUCCAUUUAAGGGAUCUUCCCUUCUGUGGUCACCCAGACCACCUCUGCCCAACAGCUCGGCAGCCUCCGUGUGGCCCAUUGUCGCCAUCCUUCCGGGACGCGGGGGCAGUUUGGGGGCGAGGGAGAUCGUUGCCUUCUUCUCCCUCCAGGGAGCAACGUCCCUUCAUAAGGAUUCUUUUUCCCAGCAAGCAAAGAUGACCUGGAAAUUUGAUAGUGCCAGAGUUACAAACUAUACUUUCUCAAGGGAGAAAUAUUACCUUAUAGAAACCAGCUUUUAUCCUGCUGAGAACCUGUACUGUGCUGCGGGGAUUGUCUCUUAUUACAGCUGUGAGAGCCGGGGGAAGCACGUACAGCUCUCGUCCGCACACCGACCGAAAAGACUGCUGGAAUCGCGGAUGACCCUGAAAAGAAACUGCGGAGUCACUUACGGGAGGGGGUGGGGGGAGGUGGGGAAAGACAAAAAUGCCAACGUAAGCCAGUACAUUCCGCGUGCAGAUUGAGCCUGAAUACUCUUAGGCACACCAGGAGGAAACUUCUCAAGGUUUCGAAACUUCUAGGUGACGGUGGAGUUCUUGGCUAACUUCCUAGAGCAUUAUUUGGCAUUAUAAAUGUCCUUCGAGUCCAUGCAGUCCUGUAAGAACAACAAAUGGUUAUGGGGAUUUUCGUAUGUAAUCUGCAGGGGAGCUAUUGUAUGCCAUUUCUCAAUGAAAACAAUCUCUUAUCGUAUAAAAUUCAUUAGAGAAGAUUGAGAAAUAAUUUUAUAACAAAAAGGUAUUCAGUCCGUCGGUUAAAUAAUACUCAGCGAGCACUUACCAUAAUACUCAGCUCAGGCACUGUAGAAGGGUUGGGAUUAUGUACUGCAGACAUGGUCCCUGCCCUCAUGACGCUUACACUUUAGUGGGCAGGAUGGGUACAGAGCAAGUGACCUGAGUGAGCCAUGCCUAACAAAUGUCUGGUUAGACUUUACUUUUUUAAAGCUUUAUUUAUUCAUUUUGAGAGAGAGAGAGAGAGAGAGAGAGCACGAAUAGGGGAGGGGCAGAGAGAGAGGGAGAGAGGGAGAAACCCAAGCAGGCUCCACCAUUCACUGCAGAGCCAGGCAUGGGACUCCAACCCACGAGCCAUGAGAUCAUGACCUGAGCUGAAACCAAGAGUCAGAUGCUCAACCCACUGAGCCACCCUGGUGCUCCUGUCAGGUUAGACUUUACAGUCUCCCAGCUCAGAGGUAACUAAGGACAUCCCUUUGUAAGAUUUAGACAUCGAGUAUACUAGAAAGAAUGCAAUCUUAAAAAUACUCAUGGUACCUCCUUUCCUACUAAGCUGCCCUUUGCUCGGGUAGGAAGUUGGAUGAUAUUUAUUUCUUCGUAGGGAAUCUCAAGUUCUCAUUCUUACACAACACAAUACAGUGAACUUGUCCUGUGUCUUCAGAGGCUGUUGCUUUCUUUUUUGGCUUUUCAGACAUAUUUAUUCCCACAUCUUCCCCAAAUCUGUUUUUUUUUUUUUCAGAAGUUUUAUUUAUUAAAGUAAUCUCUAUCACCCAACAUGGGGCUUGAACCCAUGACCCUGAGAUUAAGAACUGCAUGCUCCACCAGCUGAGCCAGGCAGGCGCCCCUCCACAUCCAUUUUUACUGUAUGAUUUUCUUUCUCAUUUUUGAAAACUAUGUAUAACUAACUAUACAGGUUAAACUAGGAAUCCCCAAGUAUCUGUCUGUCUCAGUCAGAGAUAUAAGACCUAACUUCCUAAAUGAUGAUAAAUGUUCACAUUGGCAAACUCGGGCAAUAUCUAUUUGUACCAAAACUGUGAGUGGGAACAUUUUUUCUUGAAUUUUAGAAUUUUAUUGUUUAAUUACAGAUCUUUUCAAAUAUACACGGAAGUGGCGAGGACAGUCUACGAACUCCUGUGCCCUCAUCAUUGAGCUUCAAUCACUUUGUCAGUUUUAUUUCAUCAAUGUAGCUUCCUCCACCACACAUAGACGCUUUUUAAAAUUUAUUUCUGGAGUAUUUAUUUAUUUAUUUAUUUUUAGGUAAUCUCUACACCCAAGGUGGGGCUAGAACUCAUGACUCUGAGAUCAAGAGUCACAUGUUCUACCAGCUGCCAGGCACCCUGCGUUCUGAAGUCUUUAAAAUCAAAUUUCAGACAGAAUGUCACAAAUACUUCACUAUUCACAUCUAAUAGGUAAGGAGACUUUAAAUAUAACAGGCCAUUUCUACAACUAACAAAAUUAACAAAAAUUCUUUGGUAUUGGGUAACACGACCCCUAACCAAGUUCCCCUGACUGAUCUAAAAAAUGACUUUUUAUUGGUUAUUCAAAUCAGAAACCAAAAAUGGAACGUACAGCAUACUUCGCUGUUAUAUUUCUCAAUUUUCUUUUAAUCUGUAGCGCAUCCCUUCCCCUUUUAUUCUUACCAUUUAGAUUUUGAAAGGACCAGGUCAUUGACCCUGUUGAUUUCCCCAAAUUCUGGACUUGGCUCUUAGCUUCUUCCUGGCACUGUUCAGCUUAUUCUUCUAUCCCCCUCUAUCUUCUGUAAACGAGUACAUCUAUAAGCUCAAUUAAAUUUACAUUUGUCCUUCCCUCCCUCCCUCCCUCUUUCCCUCCCUUUCCUUCCUUCCUCCCUUGGCAAGAAUAUUUAUGGGUGGUGCUAGGUACCUCCUACUGCACUACCUCAAGAGACACUUGGUAUGUAGUUUCCCCCUUUUUGUGAUGCUGAGGUUAAUCUGAGGGCCCAAGUUUUCUCAGACAGAUACUUCCAUCUUGGUCAGGUUUUAGAAUUACAUUGUCACGUAAUAUAAUAGCAUCAUGAAACACAUUGGGGGGAUUUUUAUCUUUUAUUAUCUAAAAUAGUGAAAAUGAUAUCGCUUCAAAGAUUAGGUUGAACUCAGCUAUAAAAUCAUAUGAAUAUAUUUUUUAAAUGAUAGAGCUUCAGCUGUAAAGUCACCUGACAGUUUUUUUAAAAAACCAGUAGAUCUUAUGGCCACCUGGGUGGCUAAGUCAGUUAAGCGUCUGACUCUUGAUUUCGGCUCAGGUCAUGAUCUCACAGUUCAUGAGUUUGAGCCCCAAGUCGGGCUCUGUGCCGACAGCAUGGAGCCUGCUUGGGAUUCUGUCUCUCCCUCUUUCUGCCCUCCACCCCAAAAUAAAGAAAUAAACUUAAAAAAAUAAAAACAAAAACUAAUAAAUCUUCAAUCACCUUUGUAAUCUUUUAUAAGGUGAUUAUUCUUUCCAAGUUUUUCAUUAUGUCUUGGGUCAAUUUUGUAAUUUAUUUUGUUAUUAAAUCAUCUGUUUCUUCCAGAUUAUCAAACUGUUGCCACAGGGUUUCCCAAUGUACAUCUUUUAAUUAUUUUCACCUCUUGUAUAUUUGUGAUUGUGAACUUAUUCUUAAUCUUGCAUAUUUCCUAUUUUUCUUACUCCAGUAAUAAUUUACUGAUUUUAUUGCUCUUGUCAUAACAUCAUUUUUUCUUCUUCUUCUAGUUUUCUGUUUUCUAUUUUAUCAAUUUUAUGUUUUGUCUUUUUAAAUCCCUACUGCAUACUUUCUUUGAUUUAUUUCUUUUUACUAAUUAUUUAGAUGAAUAUAUUAAUUUGCUAGGGCCUCUAUAACAAAAUAGAGUGGGUGGCUGAAACAGCAGAAAUGUAUGCUCUUAUGAGGCGAGAAGUCCAAGAUCAAGAUGUUGGCAGGUUUGAUUUUUUCCAGGACCUCUCUCCUUGGCUUCUCAUCAUGGCCUCACAAGGUCUUUUGCAGCAUGUAUGGCUCCCUUGUGUCUCUUUGUAUGUCCAAAUUUCUUCUUCUUAUAGGGACUCCAGUCAUAUUGGAUUAGAGCCCACCCUUUUGACUUCACUGUACCCCAAUGACCUCUUUCUUUUUUAAAUAAUUUAUUGUCAUGUCAGCUAACAUACAGUGUAUAGAGUGUAGUCUUGGCUUCGAGAGUAGAUUCCUGUGAUUCAUCCCCUACAUACAACACCCAUUGUAAAGUCCCUGUCUCCAAUACAGUAUGGGGGUUAGGACUUCAACAUAUGAAUUUUGGGUGGAUGCAAUUCAGGCCAUAACAGUGAGUUUAAAUUAUUUUCAAUUUUCUUCAAAUAUAGUUAAGCUGUUUUAAUAUAAAGUAUGUAAUGUGAAUUAUUCUUUCCAUGCUUUCUAGAUAGCAUGCAAUGUCAGUUUUAAAUUUCUUUGAUUUGGAGGCUAUUUAGGUAAAUAUUUCUUAACUUCCAAACUUCAAGAUGAUUUUAGUCAUUAGUUUGUUAUUUCUUUGUAAUUUUCUUGUGGUCUGUGAAUACUCUUACCUAAGUUUUAGGGAUUUUUUCUUUUGUAGUCAAAUGUAUCAUCAUUUUUACACAUUUUAUAAUCAUAAAAAAUACAUACUCUGUAUUGGCAGGAUACAAAUUGUACACAAUUUUAGUAAGUCUGCUUUAUUGCUUUUAUUAUUUAAUUUCUCUGUGUCUUUACUUAUCCUUUUGUGUAUCUUUCCACUUCUAAAAGUGACAUUUUUUUAAUUGCAACUCUAACAAUGAAAUAUUAUUCAACCUUGAAAGAAAGGAAAUUCUGACAUAUGUUACAAUGUGGAUUAACUUUAAAGACAUUAUGCUGAGUGAAAUAAGCAAGGAGAAAGAGGGGAAAGAGGGGAAAGAGGGGAGAGAGGGAGAGGAAGAGGAAGGCUUAUUACUAAGUUUAUUAUUCCGACAAUAGUAAGCUUUUUAUUAAAGGGACCAUGCCCAAAUUUCAGAAUUAGUUUAUGCUCUGAAUAACAUUGGUGGUUAUUUGCCUUCUUGUUCAUUUAUGUGUCUGGCUGUGACUUUAGAUAAAGAAAUGGAUCACCCACAUGAUGAAGUACAAUAAAAAUAAUGUUAUUAAAAAGUCCAAGAGAGCAACCUAGAUUUUGUUUUCUCUUUAAGAGUCACAGAUUUUGCCUAAGACCAGAAAAUUAUACACAUUAGCUUUCUACAUGGGAACCUAAACGAAAUAUUGAAUUUUUAAAAAAUCUUAGAGCUUUAAAAUUUCUGUAAAGAUCCUGGUUUUCCCAUUUCUGGAAAAAUUAUAUUGCUAAAAAUUAUUUGGAAAGACUCAGACUUUGUGCAAUUUUACUGUAAUGAAUGGAAAAUUAUAUAAUUUUGCACUGCAAUUGACUUUGACAAUGAGUAAGAUAUAUUUUCCCCCAUAAUAUCUGUAUUGAGCUUUUUAUUUCUAUUUCUUAUACUGAUUGACUACUUUUUCUAUUUUGAGGGAGUUUAUUAUUUAAAGAAAUAUAUGGAUAUACUCUACUCUUAAGUUUAGAUCAUUUUCCACGAAAAAAUAUGUACAGUAGAAUUUAGAAAUCCAGAGGAGAUAAUGCCAGUAGCCAGGAUAUUUUUAAUUCAUAUGCUUGCAGAUAUUAUGCAGUUCCUAAGAUUUGGGGAAAGCUUAAAGCAAGCCAACAUUAAGAAACAAGUGUUGGGGUACCCAGAGUAAGGAUUGAUUGGAUUGUGCUCUACACAGACAUAUAUUGUCUGGCAUAUUAGGAAAUGCUUUGCUACUAGAUCAUGUUUAAACAAACAUUUAUUUUAGCAAAAGUUUACAUCGGGGUUGUGCAAACUUUUCUAUAAAGAGCAAAAUGGUAUCUAUUUUAGGCUUUGUAGGGCCAUAUGACCUUUGUUGCAACUACUGAACUCUACCAUUGUGGUGGAAAAGCAGCCAUAGACAACACAUAAAUAAGUGAACAUGGCUGUGUUCCAAUAAAACUUGUAUUUAUAAAAACAGGUAGCAGACCAGAUUUGAUCCCCAUCCCAUAGUCUGCUAAUCCCUGACCGAGGUGAUCAUUUGUCAAUUACUAAAACUGAACAAGGCAACUUUGGGGAGUAUCUCUUCCUCCCAAGAAAAUUUCAAGAACCUUUUCAGUCCAUCUCUUCAUCAGCUUAAUGCUUUUAAUUUUAUACCUAUGAAUAGUUUAGACUUAUUUCAGCUGCCAUGUAAAAAUGUAUUAGCCCUGGCAGUAGAAUGUUUGGAAAUGCAUAUAACAGUUUUACUGGGGCUAAUUAGAAAUCCUCCGAAUGCUGGCGCAAUGGCAGGCAAGCAGUGCUUCUUUCUCUAAGGGCUGAGUUUUAUCUCCUGGGGCCCCACUUUUGAGUUUCUGAGUUUUAUUAAUUCCAGUCCUUUCCUUUUAUUUCCGCAGCCCUAGCCGUGGUCACUGCUUCCUGCAGUUGCUAUGUCGGUGAGAGCAUACAGUUCUCUCAACUCUCUCUUUUUUAGCCUGUUUAGUUACCAAGUUGAUAAUUUUGUAUAGCCAACAAUUCUUUGGAUGAAUUUCUCUGCGUUCAAAUACUGAUGUGGUUUGUCUCCUAAGUGGACCCUGGCUGACACAUCUGAAAUGAAACUCAAUUCAGUUAUUAGAAAAUGAUUAACUAUUUUUGGAACACAUUGGGUAUAUAAAAAAUCAUAAAAAUAUAAUUGAUAACAUAUAAAAAAUACAAAUCAAAUAUACAUUUUGUGAAAGCGAAAUACAGAUCAAAUAUUUCCAGUUAAAUUAGUGUCCAAGUUUAGAUGUACUAUAAAUGUAAAAAGAAUAUAAACUAUGUCCUCAAUAAUUUUUAUAGUGAUAACAUGUUAAAAUGAUAACAUUUUGAAUAUAUUAGGUCAAAUAAAAUAUACUGUUAAAAUUGCUUUCAUCUUUCCUUUUUACUUUUUUAAUGUGGCUACUAGAAAAGUUUAAAUUACGUAUUUGGCUCUCUUAUUUUAACUGGACAGUGCUGUUCUAGGUUUUUUUUUUUUCCUACAUUAUUAUCAUGUUUUACAUGAGGAUCAGAAUCCAAGGGAGGGCAAAAGGACUGCAGAAGACUGAGAGAGGAAGAAAGGGAAAUUUUUUUAUCUUCAUUUUUAAAUACACCUUCAGGUCAAAAUGCUUGAGCCUGGUUUUCAAGAAUAAAUUACAUUUCAACAUAUUACAGGGGGCCAUCCAAAUUUUCCUUUUGUACAAUAAUUUAAUUCCAUUUGAUAUUGUUUGCAAUAUCUGAGCCAUUGGCUAGAGUUCCCUUAAAUAUUUUUCAAUUAAAUAGAUUAAUUCUGCAACAGGAUUAGACUGUAUAGGCCUUUGGCAAAAGAAAAAAAAUUUUUUUUUUCUGUUCAACAUUUUUUAAAAGUAUAUCCUGGUUUGUAAGAAAAAAAAUUCGUACUUUCAAUGUAACAAACCCAAAUAUAUAAAUGACGUAAGUACUGUGAUCAAGCCGGAUUCAUUGCUAAUCAUUCCACUAAAGAAAUGAAUUUAAAUUUUGAGUAGAAUUUCAAUAGCUUUUUUGUUAGUUUAUUUAUUUAGAGAGAGUGGGGGAGGGGCAGAGAGCGAGAGAGAGACAGAGAGAAAGCAUCCCAAGCAGACUCUGCACUGUCAGUGCAGAGCCCCAAGUUAAGCUCCAGCUCAUGCUUGGUGAGAUCAUGACCUGAGCCAAAACCAAGAGUCAGACACUUAAUCAACUGAGCCAUCCAGGCGCCCCUGAAGAGCUUUGAACACAGAAGUCAGUGGUGUCAAACAUAAUCAGUUUAGAGCCUCAAGUAGUAUGUUACCUCACAAGUCAGGGUGUGACCCUGAAAAUGGGGCUAUAACUGGAACUCAACUUUUUCUCCUGGAAUUUGGGACUGAGACCUAGCCUUUCCAAACCGGGUGUGAACCAAUAGGACUGAGCUGAAUGCUGUCUUCGUCGAGUGUCGUUCUUGUUGGUCCACAAUCCUUCUUUCUAUUGGGAACUGCUCUUGCUCUUUCCCUUGGUUCUGGAGGUAGAGUUAUCAGCUAAAAUACAGAAUCCCUAGAUAAAUGUGAAUUGCAGAUAAGUGAAGAAUAAUAAAUAAAUGGAGCAAUCUUAUCUGCCAAUCAGAAUGUCCACCUGGCUUCAUAUAGGUGGGUACAUGACCCAGAACUGACCAAUCACAGCAUCCCUAAUCCCCCUGUUCACAUUGAUUGGUCUAAUGCAUAAGCUUUGUCCCAGGUAGGGCCAAUCAGAACCUCUCCAUGUGAUUUGAUACAAAGAGGCUGGGGAAGUGAUGGUCUCUUUUCCAUGUUGGUUGCAUGCUGCAAGGAUGUGAGCCUUGUGGGCAACCGCUGUGCUUCCUACCAUUUGAACACAGCCCGCCUGUAGUAAGAGAAUAGAAGGGUAACUAAGAAGAAUCAAGAGAUAAAGACAGAUGGGCGGUACUCUGACAACUGUUUGGAGGUAUUCUUGGUGUUUUAUGCCAAGGUUUGAUAGUGAUUAAGUGCUCAUUCCCUACCUAUAUUAAACUAACCCAAUUGCAAGUUCUUACCGUAUACUAUGUGUUAAAUUAAGCCGGCAGCUUGGCCACAAUGCCAUGGUAAACAUUUGUCUUCUUAUGUGUUUGGCAUUCUUUCUCUAGAGUUCAUUGGGCAGGAUGGUGGCGUCCAGCUGUGAUACAGAUCAGAGCACCUCUUCUCUGAUAGCAAAUAUAGGGCACUGUUGCCACGAACACUUUGAAAGCACGGACCCGGGUUUCCUUUCCUUUUAAAGAGUACUUACAAGAAGGCAGGGUGUUUUUUAUUUCCAACUCCAACUCCAGCACCAUUCCAUUCAUUUUCUGAGAUGGCUCUGUCCUUAAUUAGGCAGAGCUUGCCAACAUUAAUUUUGUGGGCAUCUGUUUCUAGGAUCGUCAAGGCACAAGGCUUCUAGUAUUGCCUUCAGAGAAUAAAGUGGCCCCCUCACUCUGUCCAUGGAAGUGCAGUGUGGUGGGAAAAGGUUGGAAGGCAGGAUUGGCUGCUUAAUCUGUGGGACCCAAUACAAAUAUAUAUAUGUAGUCCCUUCUUCAAAGAUGCUUAAGAAUUUCAAGAUGGCAACAGCAGGGCACUAAACAAGCACUGAGUCCUUCUAAGCACAGGGUUGAAGACCUAUGUGGCCAGCCCAACCUGAGGGUCAUAUUUUUUUUUUUUUAAUUUUUUUUUAACGUUUAUUUAUUUUUGAGACAGAGAGAGUCAGAGCAUGAACGGGGGAGGGUCAGAGAGAGGGAGACACAGAAUCUGAAACAGGCUCCAGGCUCUGAGCUGUCAGCACAGAGCCCGAUGCAGGGCUAGAACUCACGGACCGCGGAGCCAAAGUCGGCACUUAACUGACUGAGCCACCCAGGCACCCCCUGAGGGUCAUAUUUAAUCUCUUGAUGCCUUAAUGUCCCCAUCUGUAAAAUGGAAGGCAAAAUUGGCUGUGUGCUAUAACAAAUAUUAAAUGAGUUAUUUGUUAAACUUGUGAAGCUCCAGGCACACAGUGGUUCUCAGUAAACUAAGUAACUACCGUCCUGACUCCAUUGUAUGUGGGAGCCAAGAGUGAAGUCUCUGGAGUCAGUCCGACAUAGACUCAAAACCUGGCUAGACGGAUUCCUGUGGCCAAUUACCUAGUGACUCGAAAGCUGGGAUUCCUUACUUACAAAGAGGAGAUAAUAUAUGCAAGUACUUGUAAACGGUUAGUUUGAGGAUUAGGCGAAAUAAUGCAUUUAAAGCAUUUAGCACAGUUCCUGGCACACAGGGCUCACUAAAAUGCUAGCUAUUAUGGCUCUGUGCCCUGCCCUAUGCUGGAUAUUUUGCAUAUACUAUCUCAUUUCAUCCUUACAACACCUGGAAACUUACAUAUUGUUACCUUCAGUAGAUUUAGACUGGGGAGGUGGAGUGCAUUUCAACUGUUACUAUGUGGGAGUCUAGAGUUGAGAUUCCGGGUCUCUCUCAUUCUGAAAACUAGGCAAACUGCCUUUGGCUCUGUAGUCCUUCUUCUUGCCAUUCAUUCUCAAAUCCUCAAUGUCGGUCUGUCUUCCUGGAGCUGCCAGGGAUGCGGGAGUUUUUAAAGAUUCAUAUAUUUGAGGGGCGCCUGGGUGGCUCGGUCGGUUAAGCAUCCGACUUCAUUCAGCUCAGGUCAUGAUCUCCUGGUUUGUGAGUUUGAGCCCCAUGUCGGGUUCUGUGCUGCCAGCUCAGAGCCUGGAACCUUCUUCGGAUUCUGUGUCUCCCUCUCUGUCCCGGACCCUCCCCCACUCACACUCUGUCUCUCAAAAAUGAAUACACGUUAAAAAAAAUUAAUAUAUUUGAAAGGCCCUUGUAAGAUGCUUCUGUAUGCAACUGUCUGUCUUAGUCUUCACCUAUCUAUCUUAUGAAAAGCCAAGAAAGGCUGGCCACAAAAGCACUGACAGAUGUAACCAGACAUGAAUUCUUGGGGACGGGUUUGAGACUUCGAGAUACUCAUCAAACUUCAGCCAGAGCUGGGUUUGUUUACUCCCAAGUAUGCGUUCUUCAUCUGGGUGUUUCUGAAACAAUACUAUGAAGGGCCUUUUAUGUUGUUUUUCUCCACUGAGCAAUUAUCGUUUUCCUUUUGAAUGCAUGCUGCUAUUUCCUCUGCAGGGCCGAGGUGGUGCCGGCCACAUCCCAGCAUACAGCCCUGGCAGAAAAGCAGUUAAAAUUGCACUUGAGCCUCUGCUUGUUCUUUUUUUUUUUUUUUUCAACGUUUAUUUAUUUUUUUUUGGGACAGAGAGAGACAGAGCAUGAACGGGGGAGGGGCAGAGAGAGAGGGAGACACAGAAUCGGAAACAGGCUCCAGGCUCUGAGCCAUCAGCCCAGAGCCCGACGCGGGGCUCGAACUCGCGGACCGCGAGAUCGUGACCUGGCUGAAGUCGGACGCUUAACCGACUGUGCCACCCAGGCGCCCCGAGCCUCUGCUUGUUCACCCUGUUUUCUAACUAGCAGGGGUGUUGCUGUUUUAUUUUGCUUUCGUCCUGGCAUUAGAAUUUGACCCUAAAUUCAGAGCCUAAAGAAAGUGGGCGGGUGCGGAGAUGCGUUUGCCUUGGCUUAGUGGGCCCUGCAGCCCCAGAAGUAUUUUUGUAGCCCUGAAAACUAACUCGAGGCCUGCUUUGGAAUGUCCAGAUGAUCAAUACUUCCAGGGACUUUUAAUAGAUUGGGAUUUUUCUCUUGCUCUGAAAUGGGUUAAAAUAUAAGGUGGGGGGCAGAAGAGUUCAAAUAAAUUUGCCAUUUGCAUUUUUAGUUAAUUAAAUGGUAAGCUUUUUUGUUAAAUGCCUGCUGUAAACCUGGCACUGUACUAGGAUUGGAGAAGAGGCUGGACCUGAAUGUCUCAUCGCUAAAUUACAGAAUUAUAGAAUAAGCAAAGUUACCUUUUGUUUAUUUCUCUUUCUCCUUUCAGUGCCUCUUGCUUCCUGCCUCUCAAACAGCUUUUCUUCCUCCUAAUUUCCUCCACAGUAGAUAUUCUGAGAGGUUAGUAAAUGACUUGUGUUUAAAAGCACGGUUCAGUGAAUUUAGAAAAAGCUACAUAAUAAUAAAAACAGUUUUUAUCAGGGCGCCUGGCUGACUCAGCCAGUAGAGCAUGCAACUCUUGAUUUUAGGGCUGUAAGUUUGAGCCCCGUGUCGGAUAUAGAGACUGCCUAAAAUAAAAUCUUUAAAAAAACACAAUCUUUGUGGACUGCUUCUGUGUUGCUGAGGUGCUAGGUGCUUUAUAUUCAUUACUUCAUUUAAUUCUCCCACUAAACCUAUGAGUUAGGGGCUCCUGUGAUCCUCAUUUUGUCUAAGUUACACAACCGGUGGGUGACAGAGAGUCAUUCCACUUCACCGGACAGUUUCCUGUUUAUUUUUUUUUAAUGUUUACUUAUUUUCGAGAGAGAGAGAGAGAGAGAGUGCAACAAGGGAAGGGCAGAGAGAGAGGGGGACAGAGGAUCUGAAGCAGGCACCUCGCUCACAGCAGAGAGACCGAUGCCAGGCUAGAACUCUCAGACCACAAGAUCAUGACCUGAACUGAAGUCGGGCACUUAACUGACUGAGCCACCCAGUUGCUCCCCUGCCCCCCAGGCAGUUUCCUUAAUGAGUCAGCCAUUCUCACCUCCACCAAACCCAAUCUAAGUAGGUUUCUUCACUGCAGGAGUUCUCAGUCUUUAGUAUGCUGUAGUGCCCGUGAGUCUCCAACAUGAGAAGGUAGUAGACUGUGGCUCUCUUACUUAUUUGUCUCCCUCUCUUAUUUUUUUUUCAGGGAGGAUCUUGAGAGAUUGGAGUUCGGCAAAACACAUUUUGGGAAAUAUUGGCCAAGAUAUUUGUAUUUUAGUUAACAACUUGGAAGAAGAGAACAACUUCAGGAGUGAUUCUACUAGUGUUUCAGAGACCCACAAAAUAAAAAAAAAAGGGGGGAAGAGUAAAUAUGAGGGCUUCCGGUUGCCUCUAAAUCACACUGUGUACCUUCUCAAUAGUUCUUCUUGCUUACAAGACUGGUGGACUUUUUGAACUUUGCUUUUCUGUUAUUAAAGAAACUAGACACAACAGUGGUCUUCUAAGGAUGAGUUAAGUUGUAUGGUGGAACACAUUUAAAAGGUUUGAAAGUGAAAAAUGGUUAGUCACAGUCAUAAAGUUCAACCAAGUUGCUGAGUCCUUACUGUGUCAAACACUGCGUUCUGCUGGGCUACCAAUAGAAUCAAAUGAAGAUACCCAGCCUGUUCUCCAGCACAGAAGGAUAUGCCAUUCCCAAGGCACUUUUGUUUGUGGGUGACAGACUUAAACUAGUACAAAUAAAGAGCAGUUUAUUGUAAAGAUCUGGUUCUUGCAGAAUCCAAGGAUAGGAUUUAAAGCUGAGUUGGCAUUUUGGCUCCUGGUAGGUCCUCAGGAAUGAAGUCUAUGCUGUGUUUCUGGGGCUGCAGGAUCUUUGACCUCUAUUCAUCUCGCAUGUCACAA
This 25449-nucleotide long non-coding RNA is filed under the name Lynx pardinus (Iberian lynx). The record is from RNAcentral. Lineage: Eukaryota; Metazoa; Chordata; Mammalia; Carnivora; Felidae.